GGUGUGAUACCUUUGGACCUUUGGACAUGAAGCAUCUUCCAAUUCCUUCAUUUGGUGAAUCGAAUAUGUUGUAGGAGUUGGUUGACACAAGUGCUAGACCGGCAACACCUUCAUCUUGAGUAUAUUCGAAGUCGGAGUGAUAGCUUCUCUCGGAGUUAUUGUCGGAGUCGGAGCCGGAUACCCAUUCACUAACAUGAGCUUGAUGUCUUCGUUUUGUGUAGCUCCUUGAUGACUUGUCCUUCCUUUCUGAAUCCUUGCUUCUCCGAGGGUGUCUUCGUUCAUAUCGAUCAUCCCUACUCCUUCUCUCCCUUGAUGGUGAUUCUUCUCUUCUACUUCUUCUUUUGGGAGAAUCUUCUCUUCUCUUGUGGGGAGCCGUAGACUCAUUGGAGUAGUGUCCAGGUCUUCCACAAUUGUAGCGGUUUCGCUCUCGACUAGAAGAUCUUUUGUCAUUGUAGGACCUUGACUUGGAACUUCUCUAUUUGCUUCUAUUCUUGUAGAAUUUGUUGAAGUUCUUCACCAUUAAGCUCAAUUCUUCAUUGAAGGUUUGUUUCUCACUUGAUGAUGUGGGGGCUUCACAUGAGGCUUUGUAAGCACCACUUGAUUUGUUGUGAAGUUCCUCCAUAUCCUUGAGUGACAUCUCAUGAGCAACAAUUCUUCCAAUGACUUCCAUUGGCUUGAGAUCUUUGUAAUUUGGCAUCAUUUGGAUCAAUGUGCAUACGGUAUCGUAUUUUCCAUCCAAGGCUCUUAGGAUCUUCUUGAUGAUGAAUUUGUCGGUCAUCUCUUCACUUCCUAAGUUGGCAAUCUCAUUUGUGAUAAGAGCAAGCCUAGAGUACAUUUCAGCGACACCUUCACCAUCCUUCAUUUUGAACUUGUCAAGUUGACUUUGAAGCACAUCCAACUUGGAUUCCUCGACGGAGUCGGUACCUUCGUGCAUAUCAAUCAAAGUAUCCCAAAUUUCCUUUGCAUUCUCAAGAUGGCUGAUUUUGUUGAAUUCUUUGGGGCACAAUCCGUUGAAGAGGAUAUCACAAGCUUGAGCGUUGUAUUGUAGCAACUCAUCCACGAUAGCUUCACGAUUUGGUUCUCUCCCAUCAAAGAAUUCACCUUGCAAGCCAACACACACAAUAGCCCAAACGGCGGGGUUAUGUCCAAGAAUAUGCAUUUUCAUCUUAUGCUUCCAACUAGCAAAAUUAGUGCAAUCAAAGUAAGGACCUCCACGGUGGUAGUUUCCCUCGCUAGACGCCAUACUCUCCUAGGUUGUGAAACCAAGGCUAUGACCACCAAAAGCUAUGGAAAUCAAAGCAAAUGGAGACCAAAGCUCUGAUAUCACUUGUAGGAUCGAAAGUAUGUCUAGAGGGGGGGGGUGAUUAGACUACUUGACCAAUUAAAAAUCUAUUCUUUUCCCAAUUUUAGUCUUUGGCAGAUUUUAGAUAUCUUAGCACAAGUCAAGCAAUCUUAACACAAUUCAAGCAAGCAUGCAAAGAGUCUAUGAGCAGCGGAAAGUAAAGCAUGCAACUUGCAAGAAUGUAAAGGGAAGGGUUUGGAGAAUUCAAAUGCAAUUGGAGACACGGAUGUUUUUGUCGUGGUUCCGAUAGGUGGUGCUAUCGUACAUCCACGUUGAUGGAGAGUUCAACCCACGGAGGGUAACGGUUGUGCGAGUCCACGGAGGGCUCCACCCAUGAAGGGUCCAUGAAGAAGCAACCUUGUCUAUCCCAUCAUGGCCAUCGCCCACGAAGGACUUGCCUCACUAGCGGUAGAUCUUCACGAAGUAGGCGAUCUCCUUGCCCUUACAAACUCCUUGGUUCAACUCCACAAUCUUUGUCGGAGGCUUCCAAGUGACACCUAGCCAAUCUAGGAGACACCACUCUCCAAGAAGUAACAAAUGGUGUGUUGAUGAUGAACUCCUUGCUCUUGUGCUUCAAAUGAUAGUCUCCCCAACACUCAACUCUCUCUCACAGGAUUUGGAUUUGGUGGAAAGAAGAUUUGAGUGGAAAGCAACUUGGGGAAGGCUAGAGAUCAAGAUUCAUAUGGUAGGAAUGGAAUAUCUUGGCCUCAACACAUGAGUAGAUGGUUCUCUCUCAGAAAAUGUGUAUUGGAAGUGUAGGUAUGUUCUGAUGGCUCUCUCCACGAAUGAAGAGUGGGUGGAGGGAUAUAUAUAUAUAGCCUCCACACAAAAACUAACCGUUACACACAAUUUACCAAUCUCGGUGAGACCGAAUUGAGAAACUCGGUCGGACCGAUUUAGCAAACCUAGUGACCGUUAGGAUUUUCGGUGGGACUGAGAUGCAACUCGGUAGGACCGAUAUGGUUAGGGUUAGGGCAUAACGUAAUCUCGAUGUGACCGAUUACACAAACUCGUGGGACCGAUUUUGGUAAUAAGCUAACCAGAGAGUUGGUCAAGUAAACUCGGUGGGACCGAUCGCUCAUUUCGGUGAGACCGAAACGUUACGAAGGGAAAACAGAGAGUUUACAUUGCAAUCUCGGUGGGACCGAUCGCUCAUCUCGGUAGGACCGAAAUGUUACGAAGGGAAAUAGAGAGAUUACAACCCCAUCUCUGUGUGACCGAAAUCCCUAUCGGUGAGACCGAUUUGCCUAGGGUUUGUGGCAGUGGCUAUGACAUUUGAACUCGGUGGCGCCAGAUAGAAAGAAUCGGUGGGGCCGAGUUUGACUUUGGGUUUAGGUCAUAUGUGGAUGUGGGAAGGUAGUUGAGGGUUUUGGAGCAUAUAACUAAGCACUAUGAAGCAAGAACCUCAUUAAACAACACCUCAUCCCUCCUUGAUAGUAUUGGCUUUUCCUAUAGACUCAAUGUGAUCUUGGAUCACUAAAAUAUAAAAUGUAGAGUCUUGAGCUUUGAGCUUGAGCCAAUCUUUUUGUCCUUACUAUUUUGAGGGGUUCACUUUCCUCAUCCAUGCCAUGCCAUUCAUUGAGCUUUUCCUGAAAUAUUAAUCUUGGAAUAGCAUUAGCUCAAUGAGCUAUAUGUUGUUAGGAAUUACCAAAACCACCUAGGGAUAGUUGCAAUUUCACCCGACCACCACCCACCGUCGCCUGCCACCCCCUCAUCUUCCCCGCGCCACCGGCCCCAGCCACCACCCACCACGACCCGCCCCGACCACCACCCACCGAGACCCGUCCCCAGACACCACCUACCGUCGCCUGCCCCGGCCACCGCCUACCGCCGCCUGCCCCGCUCCACCCUGUCCGGCCAGCGCGCCUCCUCUCCUCCACCCACGGUGCCACCCUCCCCUGACCCCGUCGCUAGAUGGGGUCCGGGCCGAAUCCAGGCCGCGUCGCCCAGCCGCUGGAUCCAGGCUGCGCCGACCCUCCCGCGUCGCGCUGUCGCCGGAUCCAGGCCACGCCGACUCUCUCGCGCCCCCUGCCGCCAUCUUCAGGCUGCGGGCGCCCCUUCCUUCCCUCCCCAGUGGGCAAAAUGUAGGACACCCCUGCCCUGUCCCUGCAAAACUCCCUCCGGCGGGCCUCCUCUCCAUGCAAAACUCCCUCCGGCGAGGCCCAGUACACAUCCGUCCCCGACGGUUCAUUUGAUUUUUUCUAAGCUCACAGAAUUUUGUUUGGUAGUUCACCCAUCCUCCCCUACAGCAUAUUCUCCUAGACGCUAGCGUGUGGGACGAUGGCACAUAUGUGCGGGCGUGCAAUUCGCCAUCCCGGUGCGUGAUGUACCUGGUUCCGACGGUGCGGUUCGCCGGUGUACUCCCCAAUCGAGGAACGAGCAAUAGUUUCAUUUCACGACAUCAUCUUCUAGUUCAUCAACGCAAUGAGCAGCUCAGUGGCAGCGGGCAUGCAGUUUGGUGGACGCAUCCAGUUGCGGUUUAGUUGUUGCGUCGAUGCAGUUUUGCUCGGAAUCGAGGUGGUGCUUCGUUGUGCAGUGCAAAAAUCAUGUUAUAAAAAACAUGGGUUCUAUGCCUCUAUUUGGCUCGAGCAGCAACGAAGUUCGCUUUGGGUCACGUGUGCUGAAUUUGUUGUUAUUUGUCUCAGAAAAGUGUGUUAUAUUUGUUGUUAUUUAUUUCAAGAAAAUGUGGUUUACUUACGGUAAUGUGGUGCACUUUCGAGUGUGUUGUGGUUCAGUUUCCAUUGUGUUGCGGUUUACUUACGCCAAAUGUGAAAUGUGGUUUACUUUUGUAUUUGCAGCUCACUUCGGUUUCCCCUAGCAGCUCACUUUGGUUUCACUUGCCUAUGGUGCAGUGCAGUUUGUUGCAGCUCACUCCAAUGUUAAAUUUCAGGGUACACACGGUGGUGGAUAAAAAAACAAAAACA
Molecule: long non-coding RNA, 4266 nt
Filed under: Triticum aestivum (bread wheat)
Lineage: Eukaryota; Viridiplantae; Streptophyta; Magnoliopsida; Poales; Poaceae
Description: long non-coding RNA (TAES_LNC010177)
Source: RNAcentral